AUCAAAUAUCAAAUAUGUCUUCUUGUCUCAAUCUAUGAGUUCACUCAAAUGUAUCUAUAUAUCGCUAUCUAUAUCUGCUUCGCUUAUAGACUAUCAAGUGUAUGUAUGCUUUUAAAUGUGUAUAAAAGUGUAUUAAUUUACAUGCACUGCAAUGCACAAAGUAGGGUAAGUGUCGGGCAAGGCAAGGGAAAAUUUAUUAAAAUGUGAAAGGUCAAGGUCAAUCACAGGUUCAUAUCAACAUUCAAUCAUACAUACGCACACGUAGACAUACAAAUAAAAUAAAU
Molecule: long non-coding RNA, 284 nt
Filed under: Mytilus galloprovincialis (Mediterranean mussel)
Lineage: Eukaryota; Metazoa; Mollusca; Bivalvia; Mytilida; Mytilidae
Source: RNAcentral